AUAACGGUCCUAAGGUAGCGAAAUUCCUUGUCAGGUAAGUUCUGACCCGCACGAAUGGUGUAACGAUUUGGGCACUGUCUCAACAACCUACCCGGCGAAAUUGUAGUACCGGUGAAGAUGCCGGUUACCCGCGACUAGACGGAAAGACCCCAUGGAGCUUCACUGUAGCUUAAUAUUGAAUUUUGGUAUUUCAUGUACAGGAUAGGUGGGAGACUGGGAAAUACAGGCGUCAGCUUGUAUGGAGUCACUGUUGGGAUACCACUCUUGAGGUGCUGAAAUUCUAACCUGCGUCUUUGAAUCAAGACGGGGGACAUUGUUAGGUGGGCAGUUUGACUGGGGCGGUCGCCUCCAAAAGAGUAACGGAGGCGCUCAAAGGUUCGCUCAGCAUGGACGGAAACCAUGCCAAAGAGUGCAAACGCAAAAGCGAGCCUAACUGCGAGACUGACGGGUCGAGCAGUAACGAAAGUUGGAGUUAGUGAUCCGGCGGUAUGUGAGUGGAAAUGCCGUCGCUCAACGGAUAAAAGCUACCCUGGGGAUAACAGGCUGAUCUCCCCCAAGAGUCCACAUCGACGGGGAGGUUUGGCACCUCGAUGUCGGCUCAUCGCAUCCUGGGGCUGUAUUCGGUCCCAAGGGUUUGGCUGUUCGCCAAUUAAAGCGGUACGCGAGCUGGGUUCAGAACGUCGUGAGACAGUUCGGUCCCUAUCUGUUGCGGGCGCAGGAAUAUUGAGAGGAGCUGUCCUUAGUACGAGAGGACCGGGAUGGACGUACCGCUGGUGCACCAGUUGUUCUGCCAAGGGCAUAGCUGGGUAGCUAAGUACGGACGAGAUAAACGCUGAAGGCAUCUAAGCGUGAAACUCCCCUCGAGAUAAGUGUUCCCAUCCUUCGGGAGUAAGGCCCCUUGUAGACUACAAGGUUGAUAGGUCAGGAGUGGAAGUGCAGUAAUGUAUGGAGCGGACUGAUACUAAUAGGCCGAGGGCUUGACCUA
RNAcentral lists this ribosomal RNA (985 nucleotides) under human gut metagenome. Its description in RNAcentral is "bacterial LSU rRNA". It matches the Rfam family "Bacterial large subunit ribosomal RNA", at positions 1942 to 2925 of the family's 2925-position model. The record is from RNAcentral.